RNAcentral lists this small nuclear RNA (99 nucleotides) under Microcebus murinus (gray mouse lemur). The record is from RNAcentral. Lineage: Eukaryota; Metazoa; Chordata; Mammalia; Primates; Cheirogaleidae.
UUGCUUCUGCAGCACAUAUGCUAAGUUUGGGAAAAUACAGAGGCUAGUUAGCAUGGACCCUCAAGAUGACACACGAUUUGUAAAGCAUUCCAUAUUUUG